UUGAUGUUCUUUACACAAGAGCCUGGUGUGUU
Molecule: non-coding RNA, 32 nt
Filed under: Mus musculus (house mouse)
Lineage: Eukaryota; Metazoa; Chordata; Mammalia; Rodentia; Muridae
Source: RNAcentral